UAAUACGUAGGUGGCAAGCGUUGUCCGGAUUUAUUGGGCGUAAAGCGAGCGCAGGCGGUUUCUUAGGUCUGAUGUGAAAGCCUUCGGCUUAACCGGAGAAGUGCAUCGGAAACCAGGAGACUUGAGUGCAGAAGAGGACAGUGGAACUCCAUGUGUAGCGGUGAAAUGCGUAGAUAUAUGGAAGAACACCAGUGGCGAAGGCGGCUGUCUGGUCUGUAACUGACGCUGAGGCUCGAAAGCAUGGGUAGCGAACAGGAUUAGAUACCCUGGUAGUCCAUGCCGUAAACGAUGAGUGCUAAGUGUUGGAGGGUUUCCGCCCUUCAGUGCUGCAGCUAACGCAUUAAGCACUCCGCCUGGGGAGUACGACCGCAAGGUUGAAACUCAAAGGAAUUGACGGGGGCCCGCACAAGCGGUGGAGCAUGUGGUUUAAUUCGAUGCUACGCGAAGAACCUUACCAGGUCUUGACAUCUUCUGCCAACCUAAGAGAUUAGGCGUUCCCUUCGGGGACAGAAUGACAGGUGGUGCAUGGUUGUCGUCAGCUCGUGUCGUGAGAUGUUGGGUUAAGUCCCGCAACGAGCGCAACCCUUAUUGUUAGUUGCCAGCAUUCAGUUGGGCACUCUAGCAAGACUGCCGGUGACAAACCGGAGGAAGGUGGGGAUGACGUCAAAUCAUCAUGCCCCUUAUGACCUGGGCUACACACGUGCUACAAUGGACGGUACAACGAGUCGCGAAACCGCGAGGUCAAGCUAAUCUCUUAAAGCCGUUCUCAGUUCGGAUUGUAGGCUGCAACUCGCCUACAUGAAGUUGGAAUCGCUAGUAAUCGUGGAUCAGCAUGCCACGGUGAAUACGUUCCCGGGCCUUGUACACACCGCCCGUCACACCAUGAGAGUUUGUAACACCCAAAGCCGGUGAGGUAACCUUCGGGGACCAGCCGUCUAAGGUGGGACAGAUGAUUAGGGUG
This 961-nucleotide ribosomal RNA is filed under the name uncultured bacterium. Its description in RNAcentral is "bacterial SSU rRNA". It matches the Rfam family "Bacterial small subunit ribosomal RNA", at positions 521 to 1482 of the family's 1533-position model. The record is from RNAcentral.